GGGUGGGGGCGCUGGGGGCACAUCAAGAGAUCACUCAGCCAGACACAACGGGGGGGGGGGCAGAAACUGCUUUUUUCCCAUGGGGAGGCACCGUGACAAACUCAAGCUGGAGACCUUCGUGGAACUGGGGGAAAGCUUAGUAAAUCAGUAGACACAGGAUCCGCCCUCCCGCAACUGUCAGAAAAUGCACGCAAUCCCAACCCAGCCUCCAGCCUCAGGCCAAAGUUAAAAUGGGCAGAAAAACACGCCUUUCUCUCCAUUGCUAAAUCAGUGGUUCCCAAAGUAGGAGGUAGUGCCCCUCUGGGAAGGACGCGGGUGGCACUGUGGUCUAAACCACGGAGCCUCUUGGGCUUGCCGAUCGGAAGGUCGGCGGUUCGAAUCCCCGUGACGGGGUGAGCUCCCAUUGCUCUGUCUCAGCUCCAGCCAACCUAGCCGUUCAAAAGCAUGCCAGUGCAAGUAGAUAAAUAGGUACCGCUGUGGCGGGAAGGGAAACUGCGUUUCUGUGCGCUCUGGCUUCUGUCACAGUGUCCUGUUGCACCAGAAGCGGCUUAGUCCUGCUGGCCACAUGACCCGGAAAGCUGUCUGUGGACAAACGUUGGCUCCCUUGGCCUGAAAAGCGAAAUGAGUGCCGCAACCCCAUAGUCACCUUUGACUGGACUUAACCAUCCAGGGGUCCUUUACCUGUUUUCUGGGAGGUGCUAAGAGGCAAAGGCAGCAGGCUGGCACUAGAAGUGUAAGUCUGUCAGACUUUGAGAAGAGAUCAAGUUCAUGAACUGUGUCAAAUUAAUUAGACUAAAUUAACUGGAUUUUGAACAAAUGUGCAACUAACUGCGGCUGCUUGGAAUUUUAUGGUGUUCCUCUGUUGUGUUGUGGGUUUGUGCUGGCUGCUAUUCUGAAUGGCACUUUUUGUAUGGCAGAGGGAUGAGUUUAGGGCACCAAGGGGAAAGUGGCCUGGAAAGGUUCGAAAACAACUGUCCCAAAUGAGCUUGGAGCAUCAUGCGGAGAAGAGAGGGUCAGGAUCCUUUGUUAUCUGGCAGAGGAGGUGUUGGACCUGAUCCCAAGAGAGCUGCUCUUAACUCCCUGGUCAGCCAUAUGCCUCUUGGGUUGCCAGCGGUGCAGAGGCCAAAAUGAGGCAGGGAGAGAGAUGGAUGGAUCCCUUGGCUUAAGAGUAGGGAGUGUGUGACUGGGAUUGCGUCAUGCUCCAAGCGUAUCCCUGCUCCGUCAUUGGUGUGAUGGCCUGGGACUUGGGCUCAGACUCAGAACCAGAGGAGUCUCAGUCUGCACCGGAUCCUCUGCCUCAGGCGGCAUCUGGACCAAGUCUGGGGCCUGAUUCUGAAGAGCCCCAGUCUGCACAGGUUCCCCUGCAACAAGCACCAGCUGGGCCAAGUCAGGGGCCUGAGCCUGCCCUGGCUCCAGAUGCGGGGAUGACCUCGUUGCCCCCAGCUGGGCCAUCACUUACAGCUGCUCCGCUACUGGUUGGGUCAGGGGCGGCUGAGGCGGCCCCUGGGUCUAGUCACCCACUGACGUCUCCCGAGCUGCAGAGACUCAGGUCUGAGAAAAGGAGAGACCUGAGUACUUGCAGGAGGAGUGCUCGCCUUCGGGCGAGACAGGGAGGUGAGUCACCGGGGGAUUAGGACCGGCUGUUACCCCGACAGAGAUAAAAGGCUGUUAGACCCUGCCCCAGGUUGUGGGAGCAACAUUGCUGCUUGCUGGAAGCUGCCUGUUACCUUGUGCCUGACCUAGCCUGGUUUCCUGCCUUGUGUCCUGCCUUGGCCCUGUUGGACUGACUCCUCGCGGAAUCCUUGGAUUUGGGAUCAGACCUGAACUGUGUUGCUCGGGUUAACCUCCAGGUCCAGCACAGUUGGGGAAACUUGUCCAAUCUCAGACUUUGUCUUCUACAUCAGCCUUGUCUAACCUGCUGCCCUCUAGAUGUUAUUGUAGAGAGAGAAGGUUUCCCUGGCGGUCAUUUUGCAAGGCAGGAAUCUCAACUCGAGAUUCCAUGGCAGAUGGGCAUCCAAUCUCUGCUUAAAAACCUCCCAGGAAGCAGCGUCCACCCCCUUCCAUCACAUUGGAAAAUAUGAUGCCGCAUGAUUCCAAGUCAGACUCACGGGUCCCUUCAGCUGAGCAUUGCUUACACUGACUUGCAGCAACCCUCCAAGGGCUUCAGGUGGGGCGUUUUCCCGGCCCUACCUGGAGAUGCCAGGAUUUGAACCUGGGACUGGUGUUCUGCCACUGGGCUACUGCCCUUCCAACCCCAUCCCUGGCCAGCAGACAUGCUGGGUGAUGUUGUUGGGAGUUGUAGCCCAGAACAUCUGGCAGGCGCCACAUUGGGGCAGCCUGUACAUGUUACCAGGAGAUGGGAGAGACUCCGGGUUUCUCCUUUCGGUGGCAGUCCACACGUCCCCUUGUACCGGUUCCUUCUGGCCUCAGCUUGCCCAUCAGGAAAAUGGGCUCGCGAGUGACCUACCUGGCUCGGCUGUGGGAAAGGCACAUGCAGCAAGGAUUCCCAAAGCACACCAAGUGCUACAGGAACUAAAAGCCUUAAUCAAACUCUUGUCAACACCCCCUGCUUCCUCCACAGCCUUCCAUGGAACUACAUUUUCCCGGGUUAUUCUGGGUCAUUAACCUAAGGGGGAGUUGGAGGGAAGUUUAAAUAAAAGAGGUUUUGCAAAAACACGCUCGGCUUUGGCCUGCAGUUCCGUUUGAGGCCGGUUUCCCGGGAUCUACAGGGGAGUGACCCUGGGCUAAUGGAGGAGAUCUCCGAUGUGCGCACGAACACUCAACAGGCACACUUGGAGCACUCCUCUCUGUUGGUGGCCGGCUCUGAAGCAGCCCUUUCAGAUGGGCGAGGAGGCGGCCGUGGCCAGGCCAGCCCAGCCCAGAUGGUCUUCAUUAGUCCAUCUCCUUCCCCUCUUCCUUUGGGGGGGGUGGGAUGCAAGAGCCUUGCUCUCUCCUUCCCCUUCCACUCCUCCCCGUUCCCCUUCCAGACCCUUCGGCAGCAGCGCAGGAGGGCAAAGAGGUUAGCACAAAGUGGUUUGCACAAUGCUGUCUUCUUAUUCUCCUCCUCCUCCUCCUCCUCCGGACCAGCUGCCCAUCUGGGGAUGUUCCUCCUGGAAUGCCGGCAGUUUGCUUCCUGCCCGCCCAGAGCCUAGAGGAUCUCUGAGUGCGCAGGCCGGAAAAGGCAGUUUCCUGUCCACAUUAUCAGCUUCCCACAGCCGUCCCUGGCGCAGUGGGGUUCAAGUCCUUGGGGUUGUUUUUGGUGUGUGGUUUUUUUGCUGGGGGGGGUCUGCAAGGCUGCCCUUGUGGGGACAAGGCAUUGCUUGUUCUAGACCAUCAUGCAGCCUUUCUCAACCUCGGGUCCCCAGAUGUUGUUGAACUACAACUCCCAUCAUCCCUAGCUAGAAAGGCCAGAGCCCAGGGACGAUGGGAGUUGUAGUCCAACAACAUCUGGGGACCCGAGGUUGAGAAACGCUGCAAACCUCAGCUAACUCCAAGACAUAGCUGUCAACUUUUCCCUUUUUUUAAGGGAAAGUCCCUUAUUCCGAAUAGGAUUCCUCGCAAGAAAAGGGAAAAGUUGACAGCUAUGCUCCAAGAGCACGCAGGGGGACAAGGCCUUCCUAAGCAGGGUCGUGAGGUGCAACUUCUGUUCAAAAAGUCAGAGCAGAGACGUCUCAGGGGUGCCAAGGCAGCGAGUGGUUUGUGGGUGGCGCAAGCAGAUUGGAAGCCGAGAAGCCGUUCUGCAGAAGGAGACGGGCACAGGGUUGGCAGCCUGGCAAAAUCCUUAUCGCAAAGGUUUGGGAUUUCUCAGUCAGGGGUGUGGGGGCGAUCUUGGGGGCUUGGGAAGGUGCUCUCCCCAGCACUGUGGGGUCAAGAUUUUGGCUCGCUGGGGAAGGUUACAGAACCAGUCUGGGCAGCUGGGGAGAGGACGGUCACAGCGGGGAAACCGCAGUUCAGGCAAGCCGCAGCCACCCCAGAAACCAGUUCCCUUAAAGUUUGCACGGUGGAAUCGGAGGCAAAAAACAAGGCGUAGCAAAGGU
This 4037-nucleotide long non-coding RNA is filed under the name Podarcis lilfordi (Lilford's wall lizard). Lineage: Eukaryota; Metazoa; Chordata; Lepidosauria; Squamata; Lacertidae. The record is from RNAcentral.